CCAAUAGCGUAUAUUAAAGUUGUUGCAGUUAAAAAGCUCGUAGUUGAAUUUCGGGAUCAAUUUGUCGGUCGUGCCUCGGUACGUACUGGCAUUAUUGGUUUCUACCUUCUGAAGAACCUUGAUGUCAUUAAUUUGGUGUCUUGGGGAAUCAGGACUGUUACUUUGAAAAAAUUAGAGUGUUUAAAGCAGGCAUACGCUUGAAUACAUUAGCAUGGAAUAAUGAAAUAGGACGUUUGAUUCUAUUUUGUUGGUUUCUAGGAUCGACGUAAUGAUUAAUAGGGAUAGUUGGGGGCAUUAGUAUUCAAUUGUCAGAGGUGAAAUUCUUGGAUUUAUUGAAGACUAACUACUGCGAAAGCAUUUGCCAAGGAUGUUUUCAUUAAUCAAGAACGAAAGUUAGGGGAUCGAAGACGAUCAGAUACCGUCGUAGUCUUAACCAUAAACUAUGCCGACUAGGGAUCGGAUGAUGUUAUUUUUAAUGACUCAUUCGGCGCCUUACG
This 497-nucleotide unclassified non-coding RNA is filed under the name uncultured Glomeromycotina. RNAcentral's name for it is "SSU rRNA". It matches the Rfam family "Eukaryotic small subunit ribosomal RNA", at positions 591 to 1092 of the family's 1831-position model. The record is from RNAcentral. Lineage: Eukaryota; Fungi; Glomeromycota.